This 76-nucleotide transfer RNA is filed under the name Streptococcus pneumoniae. RNAcentral's name for it is "tRNA-Asp". It matches the Rfam family "tRNA". Rfam says of the family: Transfer RNA (tRNA) molecules are approximately 80 nucleotides in length. Lineage: Bacteria; Bacillati; Bacillota; Bacilli; Lactobacillales; Streptococcaceae. The record is from RNAcentral.
GCCGAUGUGGACCCAAAGGUCGGGCACCCGAUUGUCUAUCGGAGGUAUGAGGGUUCGAGUCCCUUCUUCGGCGCCA